Molecule: long non-coding RNA, 251 nt
Filed under: Dromaius novaehollandiae (emu)
Lineage: Eukaryota; Metazoa; Chordata; Aves; Casuariiformes; Dromaiidae
Description: lncRNA (ENSDNVG00000013470.1)
Source: RNAcentral
CUCUGUUCUGACGGUAUAAUCUGGUAGCGAGAUCUCAGCCACGCGCGGCUGACAUUAUAAGCUAAGCAAUCUUACGCCUUUCCAUUAUUUUAAAUUGCUACAGGCACGAGGCAAGGACUCUCAGUCACAUGUGAGGCUAGACAUCAGCUGAGAUAAGAAGAGCUCCAGUCAGCACCUGUCAUUUAUUGUUAUUGACAGAUUGGCAGAGGUUGAGAUUUCUGGCAGAACUGUAUCUUGUGUAAUUCCUCUCC